RNAcentral lists this ribosomal RNA (591 nucleotides) under Rhodotorula mucilaginosa. Its description in RNAcentral is "eukaryotic LSU rRNA". It matches the Rfam family "Eukaryotic large subunit ribosomal RNA", at positions 49 to 656 of the family's 3401-position model. Lineage: Eukaryota; Fungi; Basidiomycota; Microbotryomycetes; Sporidiobolales; Sporidiobolaceae. The record is from RNAcentral.
UGCGGAGGAAAAGAAACUAACAAGGAUUCCCCUAGUAGCGGCGAGCGAAGCGGGAAGAGCUCAAAUUUAUAAUCUGGCACCUUCGGUGUCCGAGUUGUAAUCUCUAGAAAUGUUUUCCGCGUUGGACCGCACACAAGUCUGUUGGAAUACAGCGGCAUAGUGGUGAGACCCCCGUAUAUGGUGCGGACGCCCAGCGCUUUGUGAUACAUUUUCGAAGAGUCGAGUUGUUUGGGAAUGCAGCUCAAAUUGGGUGGUAAAUUCCAUCUAAAGCUAAAUAUUGGCGAGAGACCGAUAGCGAACAAGUACCGUGAGGGAAAGAUGAAAAGCACUUUGGAAAGAGAGUUAACAGUACGUGAAAUUGUUGGAAGGGAAACGCUUGAAGUCAGACUUGCUUGCUGAGCAAUCGGUUUGCAGGCCAGCAUCAGUUUUCCGGGAUGGAUAAUGGUAGAGAGAAGGUAGCAGUUUCGGCUGUGUUAUAGCUCUCUGCUGGAUACAUCUUGGGGGACUGAGGAACGCAGUGUGCCUUUGGCGGGGGUUUCGACCUCUUCACACUUAGGAUGCUGGUGGAAUGGCUUUAAACGACCCGUCUUG